GGCAUGGCUCAGUGGUUGAGCAUGGACUUAUGAUCCAAGAGACCACGGUUCAAUUCCUUGUCAGGUCA
RNAcentral lists this transfer RNA (68 nucleotides) under Myotis davidii. It matches the Rfam family "tRNA". Rfam says of the family: Transfer RNA (tRNA) molecules are approximately 80 nucleotides in length. Their secondary structure includes four short double-helical elements and three loops (D, anti-codon, and T loops). Further hydrogen bonds mediate the characteristic L-shaped molecular structure. tRNAs have two regions of fundamental functional importance: the anti-codon, which is responsible for specific mRNA codon recognition, and the 3' end, to which the tRNAs corresponding amino acid is attached (by aminoacyl-tRNA synthetases). tRNAs cope with the degeneracy of the genetic code in two manners: having more than one tRNA (with a specific anti-codon) for a particular amino acid; and 'wobble' base-pairing, i.e. permitting non-standard base-pairing at the 3rd anti-codon position. The record is from Rfam by way of RNAcentral. Lineage: Eukaryota; Metazoa; Chordata; Mammalia; Chiroptera; Vespertilionidae.